CGGAGAAAAAAAUCUGCAUCAACUACAAAGUAAAGCAGGUCACAGGUGAUGAGAUGGCAGUGUAAACUCUGCAAACAUGAGGAGUCAUCAAAAGUGUCACUACUCAAACAUUAUCGAGUGAAACAUGGUCUCACAGUUCGCAUGAAACGGAGGGCUUCACAGACCGGAGUUUUCCGCCUGUUCCCC
This is a long non-coding RNA of Oreochromis aureus, 186 nucleotides long. RefSeq lists it as uncharacterized. Lineage: Eukaryota; Metazoa; Chordata; Actinopteri; Cichliformes; Cichlidae. The record is from RefSeq and is a predicted model, not a curated record. The transcript has 3 exons.